GCCUUUGUGGUGUAGUGGUCAGCACACUCGGUGCGUAUUCGAGAGGUCCGAGGUUCGAAUCCCGGCGAGGGAU
Molecule: non-coding RNA, 73 nt
Organism: Stegodyphus mimosarum
Lineage: Eukaryota; Metazoa; Arthropoda; Arachnida; Araneae; Eresidae
Source: Rfam